UUAAGCGACUAAGCGUACACGGUGGAUGCCCUGGCAGUCAGAGGCGAUGAAGGACGUGCUAAUCUGCGAUAAGCGUCGGUAAGGUGAUAUGAACCGUUAUAACCGGCGAUUUCCGAAUGGGGAAACCCAGUGUGAUUCGUCACACUAUCAUUAACUGAAUCCAUAGGUUAAUGAGGCGAACCGGGGGAACUGAAACAUCUAAGUACCCCGAGGAAAAGAAAUCAACCGAGAUUCCCCCAGUAGCGGCGAGCGAACGGGGAGGAGCCCAGAGCCUGAAUCAGUGUGUGUGUUAGUGGAAGCGUCUGGAAAGGCGCGCGAUACAGGGUGACAGCCCCGUACACAAAAAUGCACAUGCUGUGAGCUCGAUGAGUAGGGCGGGACACGUGGUAUCCUGUCUGAAUAUGGGGGGACCAUCCUCCAAGGCUAAAUACUCCUGACUGACCGAUAGUGAACCAGUACCGUGAGGGAAAGGCGAAAAGAACCCCGGCGAGGGGAGUGAAAAAGAACCUGAAACCGUGUACGUACAAGCAGUGGGAGCCUCUUUAUGGGGUGACUGCGUACCUUUUGUAUAAUGGGUCAGCGACUUAUAUUCUGUAGCAAGGUUAACCGAAUAGGGGAGCCGAAGGGAAACCGAGUCUUAACUGGGCGUUAAGUUGCAGGGUAUAGACCCGAAACCCGGUGAUCUAGCCAUGGGCAGGUUGAAGGUUGGGUAACACUAACUGGAGGACCGAACCGACUAAUGUUGAAAAAUUAGCGGAUGACUUGUGGCUGGGGGUGAAAGGCCAAUCAAACCGGGAGAUAGCUGGUUCUCCCCGAAAGCUAUUUAGGUAGCGCCUCGUGAAUUCAUCUCCGGGGGUAGAGCACUGUUUCGGCAAGGGGGUCAUCCCGACUUACCAACCCGAUGCAAACUGCGAAUACCGGAGAAUGUUAUCACGGGAGACACACGGCGGGUGCUAACGUCCGUCGUGAAGAGGGAAACAACCCAGACCGCCAGCUAAGGUCCCAAAGUCAUGGUUAAGUGGGAAACGAUGUGGGAAGGCCCAGACAGCCAGGAUGUUGGCUUAGAAGCAGCCAUCAUUUAAAGAAAGCGUAAUAGCUCACUGGUCGAGUCGGCCUGCGCGGAAGAUGUAACGGGGCUAAACCAUGCACCGAAGCUGCGGCAGCGACACUAUGUGUUGUUGGGUAGGGGAGCGUUCUGUAAGCCUGCGAAGGUGUACUGUGAGGUAUGCUGGAGGUAUCAGAAGUGCGAAUGCUGACAUAAGUAACGAUAAAGCGGGUGAAAAGCCCGCUCGCCGGAAGACCAAGGGUUCCUGUCCAACGUUAAUCGGGGCAGGGUGAGUCGACCCCUAAGGCGAGGCCGAAAGGCGUAGUCGAUGGGAAACAGGUUAAUAUUCCUGUACUUGGUGUUACUGCGAAGGGGGGACGGAGAAGGCUAUGUUGGCCGGGCGACGGUUGUCCCGGUUUAAGCGUGUAGGCUGGUUUUCCAGGCAAAUCCGGAAAAUCAAGGCUGAGGCGUGAUGACGAGGCACUACGGUGCUGAAGCAACAAAUGCCCUGCUUCCAGGAAAAGCCUCUAAGCAUCAGGUAACAUCAAAUCGUACCCCAAACCGACACAGGUGGUCAGGUAGAGAAUACCAAGGCGCUUGAGAGAACUCGGGUGAAGGAACUAGGCAAAAUGGUGCCGUAACUUCGGGAGAAGGCACGCUGAUAUGUAGGUGAAGUCCCUCGCGGAUGGAGCUGAAAUCAGUCGAAGAUACCAGCUGGCUGCAACUGUUUAUUAAAAACACAGCACUGUGCAAACACGAAAGUGGACGUAUACGGUGUGACGCCUGCCCGGUGCCGGAAGGUUAAUUGAUGGGGUUAGCGGUAACGCGAAGCUCUUGAUCGAAGCCCCGGUAAACGGCGGCCGUAACUAUAACGGUCCUAAGGUAGCGAAAUUCCUUGUCGGGUAAGUUCCGACCUGCACGAAUGGCGUAAUGAUGGCCAGGCUGUCUCCACCCGAGACUCAGUGAAAUUGAACUCGCUGUGAAGAUGCAGUGUACCCGCGGCAAGACGGAAAGACCCCGUGAACCUUUACUAUAGCUUGACACUGAACAUUGAGCCUUGAUGUGUAGGAUAGGUGGGAGGCUUUGAAGUGUGGACGCCAGUCUGCAUGGAGCCGACCUUGAAAUACCACCCUUUAAUGUUUGAUGUUCUAACGUUGGCCCCUGAUCGGGGUUGCGGACAGUGUCUGGUGGGUAGUUUGACUGGGGCGGUCUCCUCCUAAAGAGUAACGGAGGAGCACGAAGGUUGGCUAAUCCUGGUCGGACAUCAGGAGGUUAGUGCAAUGGCAUAAGCCAGCUUGACUGCGAGCGUGACGGCGCGAGCAGGUGCGAAAGCAGGUCAUAGUGAUCCGGUGGUUCUGAAUGGAAGGGCCAUCGCUCAACGGAUAAAAGGUACUCCGGGGAUAACAGGCUGAUACCGCCCAAGAGUUCAUAUCGACGGCGGUGUUUGGCACCUCGAUGUCGGCUCAUCACAUCCUGGGGCUGAAGUAGGUCCCAAGGGUAUGGCUGUUCGCCAUUUAAAGUGGUACGCGAGCUGGGUUUAGAACGUCGUGAGACAGUUCGGUCCCUAUCUGCCGUGGGCGCUGGAGAACUGAGGGGGGCUGCUCCUAGUACGAGAGGACCGGAGUGGACGCAUCACUGGUGUUCGGGUUGUCAUGCCAAUGGCACUGCCCGGUAGCUAAAUGCGGAAGAGAUAAGUGCUGAAAGCAUCUAAGCACGAAACUUGCCCCGAGAUGAGUUCUCCCUGACUCCUUGAGAGUCCUGAAGGAACGUUGAAGACGACGACGUUGAUAGGCCGGGUGUGUAAGCGCAGCGAUGCGUUGAGCUAACCGGUACUAAUGAACCGUGAGGCUUAACCUU
RNAcentral lists this ribosomal RNA (2902 nucleotides) under Escherichia coli. Its description in RNAcentral is "bacterial LSU rRNA". It matches the Rfam family "Bacterial large subunit ribosomal RNA". The record is from RNAcentral. Lineage: Bacteria; Pseudomonadati; Pseudomonadota; Gammaproteobacteria; Enterobacterales; Enterobacteriaceae. RNAcentral also lists the same sequence under 2 other names.